This 479-nucleotide ribosomal RNA is filed under the name uncultured organism. RNAcentral describes it as "partial 16S ribosomal RNA". It matches the Rfam family "Bacterial small subunit ribosomal RNA", at positions 331 to 801 of the family's 1533-position model. The record is from RNAcentral.
GUACACUCCUGCGGGAGGCAGCAGUGGGGAAUUUUGGACAAUGGGCGAAAGCCUGAUCCAGCAAUGCCGCGUGAGUGAAGAAGGCCUUCGGGUUGUAAAGCUCUUUUGUCAGGGAAGAAACGGUGAAAGCUAAUAUCUUUUGCUAAUGACGGUACCUGAAGAAUAAGCACCGGCUAACUACGUGCCAGCAGCCGCGGUAAUACGUAGGGUGCAAGCGUUAAUCGGAAUUACUGGGCGUAAAGCGUGCGCAGGCGGUCUUGUAAGUCUGAUGUGAAAUCCCCGGGCUCAACCUGGGAAUUGCAUUGGAGACUGCAAGGCUAGAAUCUGGCAGAGGGGGGUAGAAUUCCACGUGUAGCAGUGAAAUGCGUAGAUAUGUGGAGGAACACCGAUGGCGAAGGCAGCCCCCUGGGUCAAGAUUGACGCUCAUGCACGAAAGCGUGGGGAGCAAACAGGAUUAGAAACCCGGGUAGUCCCAUGAU